UACAGAGGUCUCGAGCGUUAGGCGGAAUCACUGGGCUUAAAGCGUGUGUAGGUGGAUCGGUAAGUACCUUGUGAAAUCCGACGGCUUAACCGUGGAACUGCUUGGUAUACUGCCAGUCUUGAGCCAGCUAGGGGCUACCGGAACAAAUGGUGGAGCGGUGAAAUGCGUAGAUAUCAUUUGGAACGCCAAUGGUGAAAACAGGUAGCUGGGGCUGUGCUGACACUGAGACACGAAAGCCAGGGGAGCAAACGGG
This 253-nucleotide ribosomal RNA is filed under the name uncultured bacterium. RNAcentral's name for it is "partial 16S ribosomal RNA". It matches the Rfam family "Bacterial small subunit ribosomal RNA", at positions 524 to 776 of the family's 1533-position model. The record is from RNAcentral.